GGGUGUAGUCAAGUACUUGACUUGUCGGUGCGUGUGUCUAGAUGGGAUUGACCACUCUAGUUUAGGAGCUGUGUACAGUCGUGUUUCAAUUUAGCAAAAUCUUGACCAGGGUAGUCCUUGUGAGGAGUCACAGGACUGUUUGAGUUGAGCACGAUUCAGAUGAUCUGAUCAGAGUUGACAGUUUAACCUUGAGUCAUCCUAAACACAGGGGUCAAAAAGAUGAAUUAUACAGUAACCAUAUUCAUGUAGGUUCUGAGUGUUGCGAUUGCGACUCUUCGACCUAUCCAGACGUCGGGUACCAUUGCUAGAUG
This 311-nucleotide long non-coding RNA is filed under the name Elaeis guineensis (African oil palm). RNAcentral's name for it is "long non-coding RNA (EGUI_LNC067526)". The record is from RNAcentral. Lineage: Eukaryota; Viridiplantae; Streptophyta; Magnoliopsida; Arecales; Arecaceae.